CCUACGGGAGGCAGCAGUGGGGAAUUUUGGACAAUGGGCGCAAGCCUGAUCCAGCAAUGCCGCGUGAGUGAAGAAGGCCUUCGGGUUGUAAAGCUCUUUUGUCAGGGAAGAAACGGUGGGGGCUAAUAUCUCCUACUAAUGACGGUACCUGAAGAAUAAGCACCGGCUAACUACGUGCCAGCAGCCGCGGUAAUACGUAGGGUGCAAGCGUUAAUCGGAAUUACUGGGCGUAAAGCGUGCGCAGGCGGUUUUGUAAGUCUGUCGUGAAAGCCCCGGGCUCAACCUGGGAAUUGCGAUGGAGACUGCAAGGCUUGAAUCUGGCAGAGGGGGGUUAGAAUUCCACGUGUAGCAGUGAAAUGCGUAGAGAUGUGGAGGAACACCGAUGGCGAAGGCAGCCCCCUGGGUCAAGAUUGACGCUCAUGCACGAAAGCGUGGGGAGCAAACAGGAUUAGAUACCCUGGUAGUCCACGCCCUAAACGAUGUCUACUAGUUGUCGGGUUUUAAUUACUUGGUAACGCAGCUAACGCGUGAAGUAGACCGCCGUGGGGGAGUACGGGUCGCAAAGUAUUAAAAACCGUCGAAAAGGGUAAUUGGUACGGCGUGAGACGUGCCGACGGACGACGACGACGGGAGGUUAGG
RNAcentral lists this ribosomal RNA (639 nucleotides) under uncultured bacterium. RNAcentral describes it as "bacterial SSU rRNA". The stretch from base 1 to 542 matches the Rfam family "Bacterial small subunit ribosomal RNA", at positions 338 to 873 of the family's 1533-position model. The record is from RNAcentral.